AGAAUCAACGCUGGCGGCGUGCCUAACACAUGCAAGUCGCACGAGAAAGGGGCUUCGGCUCUGAGUAAAGUGGCGCACGGGUGAGUAACACGUGAAUAAUCUACCUCCGAGUGGGGAAUAACUGAGAGAAAUCUUAGCUAAUACCGCAUAACACUUACGAGUCAAAGCAGCAAUGCGCUUGGAGAGGAGUUCGCGGCCGAUUAGUUAGUUGGCGGGGUAAUGGCCCACCAAGACGAUGAUCGGUAUCCGGCCUGAGAGGGCGCACGGACACACUGGAACUGAAACACGGUCCAGACUCCUACGGGAGGCAGCAGUGGGGAAUUUUGCGCAAUGGGGGAAACCCUGACGCAGCAACGCCGCGUGGAGGAUGAAGGUCCUCUGGAUUGUAACUUCUUUUAUUUGGGAAGAACCCCGAUUUCUAUUGGGGUUGACGGUACCAGAUGAAUAAGCACCGGCUAACUCCGCGCCAGCAGCCGC
RNAcentral lists this ribosomal RNA (477 nucleotides) under uncultured bacterium. Its description in RNAcentral is "SSU rRNA". It matches the Rfam family "Bacterial small subunit ribosomal RNA", at positions 26 to 518 of the family's 1533-position model. The record is from RNAcentral.